This 427-nucleotide ribosomal RNA is filed under the name uncultured bacterium. RNAcentral describes it as "bacterial SSU rRNA". It matches the Rfam family "Bacterial small subunit ribosomal RNA", at positions 355 to 774 of the family's 1533-position model. The record is from RNAcentral.
UGGGGAAUUUUGGACAAUGGGGGCAACCCUGAUCCAGCCAUCCCGCGUGUGCGAUGAAGGCCUUCGGGUUGUAAAGCACUUUUGGCAGGGAAGAAACAGCCUGGGCUAAUAUCCCGGGCGACUGACGGUACCUGCAGAAUAAGCACCGGCUAACUACGUGCCAGCAGCCGCGGUAAUACGUAGGGUGCAAGCGUUAAUCGGAAUUACUGGGCGUAAAGCGUGCGCAGGCGGUUCGGAAAGAAAGGUGUGAAAUCCCAGGGCUUAACCUUGGAACUGUACUUUUAACUACCGGGCUAGAGUACGUCAGAGGGGGGUAGAAUUCCACGUGUAGCAGUGAAAUGCGUAGAGAUGUGGAGGAAUACCGAUGGCGAAGGCAGCCCCCUGGGAUGAUACUGACGCUCAUGCACGAAAGCGUGGGGAGCAAACA